RNAcentral lists this ribosomal RNA (927 nucleotides) under Triticum aestivum (bread wheat). RNAcentral describes it as "partial small subunit ribosomal RNA". Lineage: Eukaryota; Viridiplantae; Streptophyta; Magnoliopsida; Poales; Poaceae. The record is from RNAcentral.
AUGAAGUGGCUCUCCAGUGCCUUGCACGUGUCCCGUUUGUAUCCCAUCCUAUUCUUCAGCUGGUUUGCCGCUCUUGGAGAGCAUCUGUUCGCAAUGGGGAGCUUCUCAAUGUUCGGAAUCAGAUUGGGGCGACGGAAGAACUGCUAUAUUAGGAACAUUGCCCGUUUUGGAGUUGCCUCUGUUGCUGGAAAACUCUAUGUAAUUGGUGGUGGCAGUGAUAGAGUUGACCCCCUUACUGGAGACCAUGACACAAUCUUUGCGAGCAAUGAGGUCUGGUCUUAUGAUCCUCUCCACCGCUUGUGGGCCCAGAGGGCUCCAAUGCUUGUAGCUCGAGCGAUGUUUGCUUGUUAUGCAUUGGAUGGGAAGAUAAUUGUUGCUGGGGGCUUUACAAACUGCCGCAAAUCGAUAUCAGAGGCUGAGAUUUACGAUCCUGAAGCUGACACAUGGAAGUCCCUCCCUGACCUCCGCCAGGCACACCCCUCUGCAUGCUCUGGUCUUGUCUUCAAGGAUAAGAUGCACGUAUUGCAUAAAGGGAUAUCCACAGUCCAGAUUCUCGAAGAUGGCGGUAAUUAUUGGGCUGUUGAGGACUACUCUUGGCUGCAAGGCCCAAUGGCAAUGGUUGGUGGAGAGUUGUAUGUGCUGAGCAAUAGCUGCAUUAGGAAGCAGCAUGGUGAGAAUUUCCCUGAUAAGAUGGUUCCUUGUGCAUCAGGAUUCCAAAGCAGGAUCGGCUUUGGCAUGAUUGGCUUAGGGGACAGCAUAUGUUUGUUUGGUGGAGUGAUCGGCCCUGGGCCAAGAAAUCAGUGCAUUAAGCCAUUGUCUGAUGUUGAUAUCUUGAAUGUCGCAAGCGAGAGGCCAACCUGGCGACAAGGAUCACCGAUGACGCGUUGCCGAGGGAGUAUCGCAGGCUGUGCUCUGCUGAAGAUCUAG